UCCCUGGAGGACUAGUGGUUAGGCCACAGCACUCUCACCGCUGUGGCCUGGGUUUGAUUCCCGGCCAAGGAA
RNAcentral lists this transfer RNA (72 nucleotides) under Pangasianodon hypophthalmus (striped catfish). It matches the Rfam family "tRNA". From Rfam's summary of the family: Transfer RNA (tRNA) molecules are approximately 80 nucleotides in length. Their secondary structure includes four short double-helical elements and three loops (D, anti-codon, and T loops). The record is from Rfam by way of RNAcentral. Lineage: Eukaryota; Metazoa; Chordata; Actinopteri; Siluriformes; Pangasiidae.